RNAcentral lists this ribosomal RNA (492 nucleotides) under uncultured bacterium. RNAcentral describes it as "partial 16S ribosomal RNA". It matches the Rfam family "Bacterial small subunit ribosomal RNA", at positions 29 to 507 of the family's 1533-position model. The record is from RNAcentral.
AGUGAACGCUGGCGGUAGGCCUAACACAUGCAAGUCGAACGGCAGCACAGUAAGAGCUUGCUCUUACGGGUGGCGAGUGGCGGACGGGUGAGGAAUACAUCGGAAUCUACUUUUUCGUGGGGGAUAACGUAGGGAAACUUACGCUAAUACCGCAUACGACCUACGGGUGAAAGCAGGGGAUCUUCGGACCUUGCGCGAUUGAAUGAGCCGAUGUCGGAUUAGCUAGUUGGCGGGGUAAAGGCCCACCAAGGCGACGAUCCGUAGCUGGUCUGAGAGGAUGAUCAGCCACACUGGAACUGAGACACGGUCCAGACUCCUACGGGAGGCAGCAGUGGGGAAUAUUGGACAAUGGGCGCAAGCCUGAUCCAGCCAUACCGCGUGGGUGAAGAAGGCCUUCGGGUUGUAAAGACCUUUUGUUGGGAAAGAAAAGCAGCAGGUUAAUACCCCGCUGUUCUGACGGUACCCAAAGAAUAAGCACCGGCUAACUACGUG